GACGAACGCUGGCGGCGUGCUUAACACAUGCAAGUCGAACGCGCCUGUCCUCUGGGUUUCUGGGGGGUGGGUGAGUGGCGCACGGGUGAGUAACACGUGAGUAACCUGCCCCCUUCUUCGGGAUAACGGUCUGAAAGGGCUGCUAAUACCGGGUAUUCACUGGUCUCCGCAUGGGGUCUGGUGGAAAGGUUUUUUUCUGGUGGGGGAUGGGCUCGCGGCCUAUCAGCUUGUUGGUGGGGUGAUGGCCCACCAAGGCUUUGACGGGUAGCCGGCCUGAGAGGGUGACCGGUCACAUUGGGACUGAGAUACGGCCCAGACUCCUACGGGAGGCAGCAGUGGGGAAUAUUGCACAAUGGGCGCAAGCCUGAUGCAGCGACGCCGCGUGAGGGAUGGAGGCCUUCGGGUUGUGAACCUCUUUCGCCCGUGGUCAAGCCGCGACGUGGGUCGUGGUGAGGGUAGUGGGUAAAGAAGCGCCGGCUAACUACGU
Molecule: ribosomal RNA, 487 nt
Filed under: uncultured bacterium
Lineage: Bacteria
Description: partial 16S ribosomal RNA
Rfam family: Bacterial small subunit ribosomal RNA
Source: RNAcentral